AGGCGGCUCAGCCACCGGGACCUGUCCUACCUCCACCCUCUGUGCAACCUCUUUCCUUGCCUUUUGUCUCUGUUGCUUUUGGGGGGUGAUUAGCCGCUAGCUCAGCGGCUAGAGUAUUCUCUCCCGGAAAAGGCUCCGGAGCUGAGGCCCAGACCCCCAGGGCAAGACGGAAUCUGCUCCCCAGGGCACUAUCUGAGACUGGGUUCCCUCACUGGUAAAAUGAGAAAACUCACUUAUGGUCAGGGGUCCCCGAGUUAAUAAUGCCAGUGAAUUCCUUGGCAGAGCAUCAAGCACUUGGAGAAGCCCCCACCCCCGGUCAUUGUGAUGAUGGUUUGUUUGUUUGUUUGUUUUGAGACGGAGUCUCGCUCUGUCGCCCAGGCUGGAGUGCAGUGGCGCGAUCUCGGCAGGCUGCAAGCUCCGCCUCCCGGGUUCACGCCAUUCAGGGGAGUCGCGCUGAGACACCGCAUAGCGCCCAUGCCCUCCAUAGCGGAGGAAAGAACCCCGGGCUGUGUUGAGGAAGCCUCCUACUUUUGCCUGAAGUGAGGUUGUUGUUGUUGUUGUUGUUGUUUCCACAUGCCUUAUUCAUCCGCGUAACCUCAGCCUCUAGUGCAGCGUCCUAUUUUUUGGCUUGUAUUAUUAUUUUUAAUUGACACAUAAUAAUUGUACAUAUUUAUGGGGUGCCGUGUAAUAUUUCAGUACACCUAUACAAUGUGUAGUGGUCGAAUCAGGGUAAUUAGCAUAUUCAGGGUUGGAGUUUUUCUGUCAAUACAGAUACUUAUA
RNAcentral lists this long non-coding RNA (780 nucleotides) under Pongo abelii (Sumatran orangutan). RNAcentral describes it as "lincRNA". Lineage: Eukaryota; Metazoa; Chordata; Mammalia; Primates; Hominidae. The record is from RNAcentral.